UACAGAGGUCUCAAGCGUUGUUCGGAUUCAUUGGGCGUAAAGGGUGCGUAGGCGGCGCGGUAAGUCGUGUGUGAAAUCUCGGAGCUUAACUCCGAAACUGCAUUCGAUACUGCCGUGCUUGAGGACUGGAGAGGAGACUGGAAUUUACGGUGUAGCGGUGAAAUGCGUAGAUAUCGUAAGGAAGACCAGUGGCGAAGGCGGGUCUCUGGACAGUUCCUGACGCUGAGGCACGAAGGUCAGGGGAGCAAACGGG
Molecule: ribosomal RNA, 253 nt
Filed under: uncultured bacterium
Lineage: Bacteria
Description: partial 16S ribosomal RNA
Rfam family: Bacterial small subunit ribosomal RNA
Source: RNAcentral